AGUGAACGCUGGCGGUAGGCCUAACACAUGCAAGUCGAACGGCAGCACAGGAGAGCUUGCUCUCUGGGUGGCGAGUGGCGGACGGGUGAGGAAUACAUCGGAAUCUGCCCAGUCGUGGGGGAUAACGUAGGGAAACUUACGCUAAUACCGCAUACGACCUUCGGGUGAAAGAGGGGGAUCGCAAGACCUCUCGCGAUUGGAUGAGCCGAUGUCGGAUUAGCUAGUUGGCGGGGUAAUGGCCCACCAAGGCGACGAUCCGUAGCUGGUCUGAGAGGAUGAUCAGCCACACUGGAACUGAGACACGGUCCAGACUCCUACGGGAGGCAGCGGUGGGGAAUAUUGGACAAUGGGCGCAAGCCUGAUCCAGCCAUACCGGGUGGGUGAAGAAGGCCUUCGGGUUGUAAAGCCCUUUUGUUGGGAAAGAAAUCUUUCAGGCUAAUACCCUGGGAGGAUGACGGUACCCAAAGAAUAAGCACCGGCUAACUUCGUG
Molecule: ribosomal RNA, 490 nt
Filed under: uncultured bacterium
Lineage: Bacteria
Description: partial 16S ribosomal RNA
Rfam family: Bacterial small subunit ribosomal RNA
Source: RNAcentral